This 1880-nucleotide unclassified non-coding RNA is filed under the name Hevea brasiliensis (rubber tree). Lineage: Eukaryota; Viridiplantae; Streptophyta; Magnoliopsida; Malpighiales; Euphorbiaceae. The record is from RNAcentral.
GUUGGAAAAUUAAAAAGCACUGAGAAACUAUGUCAUUCAUAUGUAUACAUAUAUAUAUGCAUAUGUGAGGAAAAUCAGGCCCUACAAAACGAAAAGACAUGAAAUCUCAUGAAUCCAUAUCUGACAAAACUAUCUAAUUAUAUAAUGUAUUAUACAUAAACAUUUAUACAGAAGUUGAGAAAAAAAGAAAUGAAAAGAAAAGAAAAAGAUUUGGCAUGAGCUCUCAGCAAGGAAGGUCUUUUCGCCCAUUGAAAACUCCAAACCUUCAACCCCCACUUUUAAUUGUUGUGUUGUGUACUAGUAUGAGCAAUAGCAUUAAUUCACACAUAUUGCGACCCUCUCUGGCCCCUCAUUAUUCAGCAAGUAAUGACUUCGUUGAAGCAGCAUUUUCUAUUUAAUUCUGUGUCUCCAGUCUCGGGUGAGCAUAAGAGAAACAAUUUUUGGAGGAAAAAAGAAAGAGAAAAAGCAAGAAUGGGUUUGAUCAAUUAGCUGUCUUCUUUGUUGAUAAUAGGUGUUGGGACUAAAACCGAAUCAAAUAUCCAAAUCUAGGGACAUGGAUGACUUCCCUUCGCGGAAAAACUUAGUGGAAGAAGGUACGGGUGGAAGUGGCGUGCCAUUUAAUUGGAGGGAAUGGUGGGAAGGUGAGGAAAUUUGAUGAGCCUGCAAUGCCAUAGUAGCAUGAUGAUGUGGAGGUAUUGAUGUGGCUGAGGACAAUUGGUCACAUUCUUCAGAAUCCGUGAUGGGGCAAUCCAUGUUUACACCAAACAGCCUCAGCCUCUUCGCUGCAGCUUUCCCUUGGACCACCGGCACCGACUCAUACACCAUUGGCUCCACGAACCCACCAGCUCCUUGUUGCUGCCAUUGCACCAUCCCCAAUCCAACCUGUUGCGGGGCUGUCGAUCUCCUGUAAAGCAUUGUCCCUGAAGACGGACAACGGUUUGCGCUCACAUUGCCGUAAUUGCAGCUAUUAUAACCGUAACCAUAAGAAGAUCCAACGCUGCCACCACCACUACCAUUGCAAUACGCAUUCCUAUUGGGAUUCGAGAAGUGAAGGUGGUCCCUAGGCAUCAUGGGCACCGCUGGCGGCCGCAUCAGUAGGGGACUCCAAGGGAUGGAUGAGAAGUGGUGGUGCUGCUGGUGACGGUGGUGGUGAUUGUGAGAGGUUGGGUCUGGUGCAUCAGGUCGGCGCCUCCAAUCAAUGUACAAAUGAUCGUUGCCCGUCUCACCCACCCCUCGCUGAAACGACACAAUAUCACCAGCAUCGAGUUUCUUCUCCUUUACAAAACGGCUCCAACCCUUGGUCAUCACAUAGCUCUGACUGCUAUUCCAGUAGGAGUAGCGGAAUCUCCAUGCUUUCCCAGUCCUAUCCUCGAAAUUCAAAAGAAGGCCCUUCUCGUUGGUUGAUGAAUCUAAUGGGAAGUACUUUUCUGCGUGCUGCUUUGGGAUCACAAGUCGAUUUAGCUUGCCCACGUCGCUUGGUGUGACUACCUUAUCAAACAUGUGCUCCUUCUCUAUGACAACAACAGCAGAUGAUUCUUCUUUGCAGCCUUGUUGCUGUUCAUCGUUGACAUCCAAAAGCUCAAGCUUGGCUGCAGCUCCGCUGUCAUUAAACCUGGAGAUAUCUUCCUGUUCUGGGUCAUACUUGCUGCCUAACCAAGAACCCAUUUGAGCUUUCUGAUGGUCAUAUAUUUGGGAUAGAGGAAGCAGAUUGCCCUUGUGCUGGGAGGAAGAAGAUGAUGGAGAGGAGGAAGAUGAAUAGGAGAAAGGGAGCUUACCUUUACUCAUCUGGUCUUCUUCUCUAAAACCCGAUCCAAAGUCCAUUUUUUGUCGAUCGAGUGGAUCUAUAAGGGUCGAGUAUUGAGAAGAAGAAGAAGAAGAAG